UAGUCCACGCCGUAAACGAUGUCAACUAGCCGUUGGGGGGUUACCCUUUAGUGGCGCAGCUAACGCGAUAAGUUGACCGCCUGGGGAGUACGGUCGCAAGAUUAAAACUCAAAGGAAUUGACGGGGGCCCGCACAAGCGGUGGAGCAUGUGGUUUAAUUCGAUGCAACGCGAAGAACCUUACCUACCCUUGACAUUGACAGAAUCCUGUAGAGAUACGGGAGUGCCUUCGGGCCUGGAAAACAGGUGCUGCAUGGCUGUCGUCAGUUCGUGUCGUGAGAUGUUGGGUUAAGUCCCGCAACGAGCGCAACCCUUGUCUUUAGUUGCCAUCAUUAAGUUGGGCACUCUAAAGAGACUGCCGGUGUCAAACCGGAGGAAGGUGGGGAUGACGUCAAGUCCUCAUGGCCUUUAUGAUCAGGGCUACACACGUACUACAAUGGCCGGUACAAAGGGCAGCGACACAGCGAUGUGAAGCUAAUCUCGUAAAGCCGGUCUCAGUCCGGAUUGGAGUCUGCAACUCGA
Molecule: ribosomal RNA, 520 nt
Filed under: uncultured bacterium
Lineage: Bacteria
Description: bacterial SSU rRNA
Rfam family: Bacterial small subunit ribosomal RNA
Source: RNAcentral